AUGUAAUAUGUAUGUAAUAUGUAUAUGUAAUAUGUACUAUUGUAUUACAUAUAUGUAUACAUAUGUAAUAUGUAUAUAUACCUAUAUACCUGUACAUAUAUAUACCUAUACGUAUACAUACAAUGGAAUAUUACUCAGCCAUAAAAAAGGAUGAAAUUCUGCCAUUUGCAACAACCUGGAUGGACCUGGAGGGUAUUAUACUAAGUGAAAUAGGUCAGAUGGAGAAAGACACAUACUGUAUGAUUUCUCUUAUAUGUGGAAUCUAAAAGACAAAACAGAAAACCACCCAAAACAAAACAAAAAAACAGACUCAUAGAUUCAGCAAAAAUUGUUGGUUAACAGAAAGGGGUUGGGGGGGGCAGUGAAAUAGGUGAUAUCUGAGAGGGGAGGAGGAAUAUGCUUCUUAGGCAGGCAGAAGAAAUAAUGAAUUUGUCUUUUUCUUAUUUCAGUCCAGAAGAGAACUACAGAGGAGCUGGGAUCAGCUCUGUGCUUGGCACGAAGCACCAGAAGCCGCUCUCACAGGUCCUCGUACAAGAUUCCUAUGUUGGCCUGUUUAUGUUUUUUCAUUUGCUCAGAGAAUGCUCCCAAGAUGCUUCCAGAAAUCACAGGACACUGUGACUUGCUGCUGAUUUUGGGUAGUUUCUAGAGGCGACAGAUAAUAUUUUAGCAGGGUCAAAAUGAGUAAAUUUUUAUCUUCUCAGCUAACAGAAAACUAGAGAAUUUGCUCACUACCCUCUCUUUCCUAAGCCGGGAAACUAACAACAAGAUGGGCCUCUUCCACAAUGGAAGGGACUAGUAAAAAAUCUGUGUGGUCACUGAGUCUGACAUUAUUAAAAGAGGAAUCCCUAGCAAUAAAAAAAUAAAGCCUUAAAAAUAAAUAAAAUUA
This 886-nucleotide long non-coding RNA is filed under the name Felis catus (domestic cat). Its description in RNAcentral is "lncRNA (ENSFCAG00000040840.2)". Lineage: Eukaryota; Metazoa; Chordata; Mammalia; Carnivora; Felidae. The record is from RNAcentral.